UCGCCGAUUCGUUUGAAGAAGGAUCUGGCCAUUGACUGCUGGUGCUUCCCCUCCCCGGGCGGUGAGUGCUCUUUUCAAUCUCCUCUCCCUCUCCACCCAUCCCCAAUCGGUGUUGCCGUUAGUUGACUUAUUUGCUUUUCCCUUUUCCGUUCAGAUCAGCCAUGACUUGGGAUAGUACUUCUAUCCAGCAAGCAGCAUUUUGGAUGUGACCUCCAGCUCAAGCAGAGCAUCAAAAAUAGGGGCUCUAUCUGCUAAUGGGGUAGCCGGCAAUGCAGUCUAAGAGCUACAUCUCGUGUGAUUUCUGGAUAUGAGAACUUGAAGAAGAACAAGCUUGAUGCUAUUAUUGAAAAAAAAUCUAUGCUACAUGUAUUCCUUUAAGUACUGUUGCCAGAAACCUUAAUUAGCUACUGUUUUUUAUGAAAUGGAUGUGAUUUAUUUGUGAACUUUAGAGCUUUUGAGUUGUAAUUUGUGAUGUUUGAACCCUUGCCAGACUAUCAAAUUAUGCUAUGUGUGCCUGAAGGUCAAUACAAGGGUAUUCAUCAUAUGAAAAUUCAUUACUUUAUAUAUAUAGAAAAACGUAU
This 581-nucleotide long non-coding RNA is filed under the name Triticum aestivum (bread wheat). RNAcentral's name for it is "long non-coding RNA (TAES_LNC014576)". The record is from RNAcentral. Lineage: Eukaryota; Viridiplantae; Streptophyta; Magnoliopsida; Poales; Poaceae.